AAUACCUUUAAAGUAGUCCAGAGAGACUAAAAAGGGUCGGAAAUGUACAUAGUUAUAUAACUAUGCCCUUUUGUCCUCUGUAGACAAAGGGCAUUUUUUAA
This is a regulatory RNA element of Virgibacillus sp. SK37, 101 nucleotides long. It matches the Rfam family "PyrR binding site". Rfam says of the family: This family represents the PyrR binding site and terminator structure. This RNA structure is found upstream of a variety of genes involved in pyrimidine biosynthesis and transport. The record is from Rfam. Lineage: Bacteria; Bacillati; Bacillota; Bacilli; Caryophanales; Bacillaceae.